AAGAGUUUGAUCAUGGCUCAGAUUGAACGCUGGCGGCAGGCCUAACACAUGCAAGUCGAACGGUAACAGAAAGCAGCUUGCUGCUUUGCUGACGAGUGGCGGACGGGUGAGUAAUGUCUGGGAAACUGCCCGAUGGAGGGGGAUAACUACUGGAAACGGUAGCUAAUACCGCAUAACGUCGCAAGACCAAAGAGGGGGACCUUCGGGCCUCUUGCCAUCGGAUGUGCCCAGAUGGGAUUAGCUAGUAGGUGGGGUAAAGGCUCACCUAGGCGACGAUCCCUAGCUGGUCUGAGAGGAUGACCAGCCACACUGGAACUGAGACACGGUCCAGACUCCUACGGGAGGCAGCAGUGGGGAAUAUUGCACAAUGGGCGCAAGCCUGAUGCAGCCAUGCCGCGUGUAUGAAGAAGGCCUUCGGGUUGUAAAGUACUUUCAGCGGGGAGGAAGGGAGUAAAGUUAAUACCUUUGCUCAUUGACGUUACCCGCAGAAGAAGCACCGGCUAACUCCGUGCCAGCAGCCGCGGUAAUACGGAGGGUGCAAGCGUUAAUCGGAAUUACUGGGCGUAAAGCGCACGCAGGCGGUUUGUUAAGUCAGAUGUGAAAUCCCCGGGCUCAACCUGGGAACUGCAUCUGAUACUGGCAAGCUUGAGUCUCGUAGAGGGGGGUAGAAUUCCAGGUGUAGCGGUGAAAUGCGUAGAGAUCUGGAGGAAUACCGGUGGCGAAGGCGGCCCCCUGGACGAAGACUGACGCUCAGGUGCGAAAGCGUGGGGAGCAAACAGGAUUAGAUACCCUGGUAGUCCACGCCGUAAACGAUGUCGACUUGGAGGUUGUGCCCUUGAGGCGUGGCUUCCGGAGCUAACGCGUUAAGUCGACCGCCUGGGGAGUACGGCCGCAAGGUUAAAACUCAAAUGAAUUGACGGGGGCCCGCACAAGCGGUGGAGCAUGUGGUUUAAUUCGAUGCAACGCGAAGAACCUUACCUGGUCUUGACAUCCACGGAAGUUUUCAGAGAUGAGAAUGUGCCUUCGGGAACCGUGAGACAGGUGCUGCAUGGCUGUCGUCAGCUCGUGUUGUGAAAUGUUGGGUUAAGUCCCGCAACGAGCGCAACCCUUAUCCUUUGUUGCCAGCGGUCCGGCCGGGAACUCAAAGGAGACUGCCAGUGAUAAACUGGAGGAAGGUGGGGAUGACGUCAAGUCAUCAUGGCCCUUACGACCAGGGCUACACACGUGCUACAAUGGCGCAUACAAAGAGAAGCGACCUCGCGAGAGCAAGCGGACCUCAUAAAGUGCGUCGUAGUCCGGAUUGGAGUCUGCAACUCGACUCCAUGAAGUCGGAAUCGCUAGUAAUCGUGGAUCAGAAUGCCACGGUGAAUACGUUCCCGGGCCUUGUACACACCGCCCGUCACACCAUGGGAGUGGGUUGCAAAAGAAGUAGGUAGCUUAACCUUCGGGAGGGCGCUUACCACUUUGUGAUUCAUGACUGGGGUGAAGUCGUAACAAGGUAACCGUAGGGGAACCUGCGGUUGGAUCACCUCCUUACCUUAAAGAAGC
This 1548-nucleotide ribosomal RNA is filed under the name Escherichia coli. Its description in RNAcentral is "bacterial SSU rRNA". It matches the Rfam family "Bacterial small subunit ribosomal RNA". The record is from RNAcentral. Lineage: Bacteria; Pseudomonadati; Pseudomonadota; Gammaproteobacteria; Enterobacterales; Enterobacteriaceae.